UGGGGAAUAUUGGGCAAUGGGCGCAAGCCUGACCCAGCAACGCCGCGUGAAGGAAGAAGGCUUUCGGGUUGUAAACUUCUUUUCUGGGGGACGAAGAAAGUGACGGUACCCCAGGAAUAAGCCACGGCUAACUACGUGCCAGCAGCCGCGGUAAUACGUAGGUGGCAAGCGUUAUCCGGAUUUAUUGGGUGUAAAGGGCGUGUAGGCGGGAGUGCAAGUCAGAUGUGAAAACUAUGGGCUCAACCCAUAGCCUGCAUUUGAAACUGUACUUCUUGAGUGCUGGAGAGGCAAUCGGAAUUCCGUGUGUAGCGGUGAAAUGCGUAGAUAUACGGAGGAACACCAGUGGCGAAGGCGGAUUGCUGGACAGUAACUGACGCUGAGGCGCGAAAGCGUGGGGAGCAAACAGGAUUAGAUACC
Molecule: ribosomal RNA, 417 nt
Filed under: uncultured bacterium
Lineage: Bacteria
Description: bacterial SSU rRNA
Rfam family: Bacterial small subunit ribosomal RNA
Source: RNAcentral